This 73-nucleotide transfer RNA is filed under the name Thermoplasmata archaeon. Its description in RNAcentral is "tRNA-Arg". It matches the Rfam family "tRNA". Rfam says of the family: Transfer RNA (tRNA) molecules are approximately 80 nucleotides in length. Their secondary structure includes four short double-helical elements and three loops (D, anti-codon, and T loops). Further hydrogen bonds mediate the characteristic L-shaped molecular structure. tRNAs have two regions of fundamental functional importance: the anti-codon, which is responsible for specific mRNA codon recognition, and the 3' end, to which the tRNAs corresponding amino acid is attached (by aminoacyl-tRNA synthetases). tRNAs cope with the degeneracy of the genetic code in two manners: having more than one tRNA (with a specific anti-codon) for a particular amino acid; and 'wobble' base-pairing, i.e. permitting non-standard base-pairing at the 3rd anti-codon position. Lineage: Archaea; Methanobacteriati; Thermoplasmatota; Thermoplasmata. The record is from RNAcentral.
GGGCCUGUAGUGUAGCUGGAUAUCACUGAGGCCUCCGGAGCCUCUAACUCGGGUUCAAAUCCCGACAGGCCCG